ACCUAAGUUUGUUCUGGGUAUAAGCUUUUGUGUGCAUGCACACUUCUUCAGAUACUUCUUCAGAUCUGAAGAAGUGUGCAUGCACACGAAAGCUUAUACCCAGAACAAACUUAGUUGG
This 118-nucleotide microRNA precursor is filed under the name Podarcis lilfordi (Lilford's wall lizard). The record is from RNAcentral. Lineage: Eukaryota; Metazoa; Chordata; Lepidosauria; Squamata; Lacertidae.